AUGUACCACGCGUACACUCGGUUGUGAGUGCGCUGUCCACACCCACCUGACGGCUGCUCGCUCUGUUUUGUUAGCC
Molecule: small RNA, 76 nt
Filed under: Xanthomonas sp. NCPPB 1560
Lineage: Bacteria; Pseudomonadati; Pseudomonadota; Gammaproteobacteria; Lysobacterales; Lysobacteraceae
Also listed under: 7 other names
Description: sX9 sRNA
Rfam family: Xanthomonas sRNA sX9
Source: RNAcentral